UGAAACAGCCUAUUGUGUCAGAGAGGUGCAAUAGUAUGGCUGGGUCAAAUUGGA
This 54-nucleotide small RNA is filed under the name Homo sapiens (human). RNAcentral describes it as "nc004 non-coding RNA". The record is from RNAcentral. Lineage: Eukaryota; Metazoa; Chordata; Mammalia; Primates; Hominidae.